Mizuhopecten yessoensis (Yesso scallop) is the source of this 330-nucleotide long non-coding RNA. RefSeq lists it as uncharacterized. The record is from RefSeq and is a predicted model, not a curated record. The transcript has 4 exons. Lineage: Eukaryota; Metazoa; Mollusca; Bivalvia; Pectinida; Pectinidae.
GUAGAUGUUCAGGUGUUGAUCACCGGUCCACAGGUAUCCUGAGGUGUACCCUGCCGUACUGAGGACACUGGGAGGGUGGUGAACUUAAUCAGGGUACUUCACUGUACUGUCCGACCGACAUGAUGUAUCAUUCCUACCAACAUAGAUACAGGAACGAUUAUGGCUAGAUUAUGGGCACCAGAGUCAAAUUCCUGGGUGAUAUAAGUGCUAUGGAGCCUACUGUAUGUAUAAAGAUGUCUGGUGAAGGUGAAGAAUGACUUAUUCCGUCUUUGCGCAGUGCAGAGUUAUCUUCUCUUGAGAGCAGGUAUUGAUUGUUACGUCAUUGGUUUG